RNAcentral lists this ribosomal RNA (248 nucleotides) under uncultured Sphingobacteriales bacterium. Its description in RNAcentral is "partial 16S ribosomal RNA". It matches the Rfam family "Bacterial small subunit ribosomal RNA", at positions 86 to 334 of the family's 1533-position model. The record is from RNAcentral. Lineage: Bacteria; Pseudomonadati; Bacteroidota; Sphingobacteriia; Sphingobacteriales.
UGGCGGCGACCGGCAAACGGGUGCGGAACACGUACACAACCUUCCUCUCGGUGGGGGACAGCCCAGGGAAACUUGGAUUAAUACCCCAUAACAUACUUUGAUUGCAUAAUUGAGGUAUUAAAGAUUUAUCGCCGGGAGAUGGGUGUGCGUAUGAUUAGGUAGUUGGCGGGGUAACGGCCCACCAAGCCUCCGAUCAUUAACUGGCGUGAGAGCACGACCAGUCACACGGGCACUGAGACACGGGCCCG